RNAcentral lists this ribosomal RNA (406 nucleotides) under uncultured bacterium. RNAcentral describes it as "partial 16S ribosomal RNA". It matches the Rfam family "Bacterial small subunit ribosomal RNA", at positions 30 to 526 of the family's 1533-position model. The record is from RNAcentral.
AUUGAACGCUGGCGGCAGGCCUAACACAUGCAAGUCGAGCGAGCGGCGGACGGGUGAGUAAUGUCUGGGAAACUGCCUGAUGGAGGGGGAUAACUACUGGAACCGGUAGCUAAUACCGCAUACUAUCAGAUGUGCCCAUAUGGGAUUAGCUAGUAGGUGGGUUAAUGGCUCACCUAGGCGACGAUCCCUAGCUGGUCUGAGAGGAUGACCAGCCACACUGGAACUGAGACACGGUCCAGACUCCUACGGGAGGCAGCAGUGGGGAAUAUUGCACAAUGGGCGCAAGCCUGAUGCAGCCAUGCCGCGUGUAUGAAGAAGGCCUUCGGGUUGUAAAGUACUUUCAGCGAGGAGGCGUUACUCGCAGAAGAAGCACCGGCUAACUCCGUGCCAGCAGCCGCGGUAAUUC